This 66-nucleotide transfer RNA is filed under the name Neoteredo reynei. RNAcentral describes it as "tRNA-Ser". Lineage: Eukaryota; Metazoa; Mollusca; Bivalvia; Myida; Teredinidae. The record is from RNAcentral.
GAAGCACAUGGGUUGUAGUGAGAUUUCUAAUUUUACUGGAAGCGGUUCGACUCCGUUUGUGGUUCU